GGGUUGUGAGGUUAAGCGACUAAGCGUACACGGUGGAUGCCCUGGCAGUCAGAGGCGAUGAAGGACGUGCUAAUCUGCGAUAAGCGUCGGUAAGGUGAUAUGAACCGUUAUAACCGGCGAUUUCCGAAUGGGGAAACCCAGUGUGUUUCGACACACUAUCAUUAACUGAAUCCAUAGGUUAAUGAGGCGAACCGGGGGAACUGAAACAUCUAAGUACCCCGAGGAAAAGAAAUCAACCGAGAUUCCCCCAGUAGCGGCGAGCGAACGGGGAGCAGCCCAGAGCCUGAAUCAGUGUGUGUGUUAGUGGAAGCGUCUGGAAAGGCGCGCGAUACAGGGUGACAGCCCCGUACACAAAAAUGCACAUGCUGUGAGCUCGAUGAGUAGGGCGGGACACGUGGUAUCCUGUCUGAAUAUGGGGGGACCAUCCUCCAAGGCUAAAUACUCCUGACUGACCGAUAGUGAACCAGUACCGUGAGGGAAAGGCGAAAAGAACCCCGGCGAGGGGAGUGAAAAAGAACCUGAAACCGUGUACGUACAAGCAGUGGGAGCCUCUUUUAUGGGGUGACUGCGUACCUUUUGUAUAAUGGGUCAGCGACUUAUAUUCUGUAGCAAGGUUAACCGAAUAGGGGAGCCGAAGGGAAACCGAGUCUUAACUGGGCGUUAAGUUGCAGGGUAUAGACCCGAAACCCGGUGAUCUAGCCAUGGGCAGGUUGAAGGUUGGGUAACACUAACUGGAGGACCGAACCGACUAAUGUUGAAAAAUUAGCGGAUGACUUGUGGCUGGGGGUGAAAGGCCAAUCAAACCGGGAGAUAGCUGGUUCUCCCCGAAAGCUAUUUAGGUAGCGCCUCGUGAAUUCAUCUCCGGGGGUAGAGCACUGUUUCGGCAAGGGGGUCAUCCCGACUUACCAACCCGAUGCAAACUGCGAAUACCGGAGAAUGUUAUCACGGGAGACACACGGCGGGUGCUAACGUCCGUCGUGAAGAGGGAAACAACCCAGACCGCCAGCUAAGGUCCCAAAGUCAUGGUUAAGUGGGAAACGAUGUGGGAAGGCCCAGACAGCCAGGAUGUUGGCUUAGAAGCAGCCAUCAUUUAAAGAAAGCGUAAUAGCUCACUGGUCGAGUCGGCCUGCGCGGAAGAUGUAACGGGGCUAAACCAUGCACCGAAGCUGCGGCAGCGACGCUUAUGCGUUGUUGGGUAGGGGAGCGUUCUGUAAGCCUGUGAAGGUGUGCUGUGAGGCAUGCUGGAGGUAUCAGAAGUGCGAAUGCUGACAUAAGUAACGAUAAAGCGGGUGAAAAGCCCGCUCGCCGGAAGACCAAGGGUUCCUGUCCAACGUUAAUCGGGGCAGGGUGAGUCGACCCCUAAGGCGAGGCCGAAAGGCGUAGUCGAUGGGAAACAGGUUAAUAUUCCUGUACUUGGUGUUACUGCGAAGGGGGGACGGAGAAGGCUAUGUUGGCCGGGCGACGGUUGUCCCGGUUUAAGCGUGUAGGCUGGUUUUCCAGGCAAAUCCGGAAAAUCAAGGCUGAGGCGUGAUGACGAGGCACUACGGUGCUGAAGCAACAAAUGCCCUGCUUCCAGGAAAAGCCUCUAAGCAUCAGGUAACAUCAAAUCGUACCCCAAACCGACACAGGUGGUCAGGUAGAGAAUACCAAGGCGCUUGAGAGAACUCGGGUGAAGGAACUAGGCAAAAUGGUGCCGUAACUUCGGGAGAAGGCACGCUGAUAUGUAGGUGAAGUCCCUUGCGGAUGGAGCUGAAAUCAGUCGAAGAUACCAGCUGGCUGCAACUGUUUAUUAAAAACACAGCACUGUGCAAACACGAAAGUGGACGUAUACGGUGUGACGCCUGCCCGGUGCCGGAAGGUUAAUUGAUGGGGUCAGCGCAAGCGAAGCUCUUGAUCGAAGCCCCGGUAAACGGCGGCCGUAACUAUAACGGUCCUAAGGUAGCGAAAUUCCUUGUCGGGUAAGUUCCGACCUGCACGAAUGGCGUAAUGAUGGCCAGGCUGUCUCCACCCGAGACUCAGUGAAAUUGAACUCGCUGUGAAGAUGCAGUGUACCCGCGGCAAGACGGAAAGACCCCGUGAACCUUUACUAUAGCUUGACACUGAACAUUGAGCCUUGAUGUGUAGGAUAGGUGGGAGGCUUUGAAGUGUGGACGCCAGUCUGCAUGGAGCCGACCUUGAAAUACCACCCUUUAAUGUUUGAUGUUCUAACGUUGACCCGUAAUCCGGGUUGCGGACAGUGUCUGGUGGGUAGUUUGACUGGGGCGGUCUCCUCCUAAAGAGUAACGGAGGAGCACGAAGGUUGGCUAAUCCUGGUCGGACAUCAGGAGGUUAGUGCAAUGGCAUAAGCCAGCUUGACUGCGAGCGUGACGGCGCGAGCAGGUGCGAAAGCAGGUCAUAGUGAUCCGGUGGUUCUGAAUGGAAGGGCCAUCGCUCAACGGAUAAAAGGUACUCCGGGGAUAACAGGCUGAUACCGCCCAAGAGUUCAUAUCGACGGCGGUGUUUGGCACCUCGAUGUCGGCUCAUCACAUCCUGGGGCUGAAGUAGGUCCCAAGGGUAUGGCUGUUCGCCAUUUAAAGUGGUACGCGAGCUGGGUUUAGAACGUCGUGAGACAGUUCGGUCCCUAUCUGCCGUGGGCGCUGGAGAACUGAGGGGGGCUGCUCCUAGUACGAGAGGACCGGAGUGGACGCAUCACUGGUGUUCGGGUUGUCAUGCCAAUGGCACUGCCCGGUAGCUAAAUGCGGAAGAGAUAAGUGCUGAAAGCAUCUAAGCACGAAACUUGCCCCGAGAUGAGUUCUCCCUGACCCUUUAAGGGUCCUGAAGGAACGUUGAAGACGACGACGUUGAUAGGCCGGGUGUGUAAGCGCAGCGAUGCGUUGAGCUAACCGGUACUAAUGAACCGUGAGGCUUAACCUUACAACGCCGAAG
RNAcentral lists this ribosomal RNA (2925 nucleotides) under Escherichia coli. RNAcentral describes it as "bacterial LSU rRNA". It matches the Rfam family "Bacterial large subunit ribosomal RNA". The record is from RNAcentral. Lineage: Bacteria; Pseudomonadati; Pseudomonadota; Gammaproteobacteria; Enterobacterales; Enterobacteriaceae.